UAAGGUCAUUUUUUAAGACCUAUAUGGAUGACAAUUUCAUGCUGUACAGAGCAUAGGGUAGAUUUCCCAUGCUACACCUUGGAUAUACACUUAUUUAGAUCUAUUCGAUCAACCAAUCAUUAGAGCAUAGGAAGUGAGGUAAUUCACUCCUAGGUAUAAAUAGGCCAGAUAUAGCCUCUCCAGUUCACUUACCAUCCAGGAGAGGAGGCUGACACACAUCCAGAACCUUUUAGUGUAAGUACUACUUUACGACCUUAAAUUAAAUUGAUCAACCUCUCACCUAAUUGAUUGUGAGGUAAAGAUCUGAUUAUUUCUAUUUAUUACAGCUGCUUUCCUCACUGGACAUUUUGUUUGGUGUUAUUGGCUUGACUUUAAAAUCCCUUGUGAACUUUCAUUAAUCUUGGAGGACACAAUCUAAUUGGUCAUUUGCCCCAUAAUUAAAUAAAGUACCUACAAGGAACCACAAUUAAGGAGCAGCUGAUUAGAAGUUCACGAGAGUUUCUAGUAUCAUUAUAGAUAUAUAUCACGUUUUAUCACUCUUCACAGUGAGAUCAUCUUGUAGGAAAUUUGCUAAAGCAUUAUUCCACUGUGACUUGUACCCCUGAUGAAGUCCAUAAUGGACGAAACGCGUUGGGUUUUAUGAGAUAUAUAUAGCAUACACUGUUUCUGCAUAAAUGUGUAUUGUGCUUAUGGAACAACGUGUAUGACAAAUUUUAACGUGUAUUAAAAAUAAUCUUUCUAUCAUUCCGGUUAUGCUGGUUGGAUUUUACUUUGAGUAAUUAUUUCAAUUUUAA
Long non-coding RNA from Pseudophryne corroboree (corroboree frog), 794 nucleotides. RefSeq lists it as uncharacterized. The record is from RefSeq and is a predicted model, not a curated record. NCBI's taxonomy places the organism in Eukaryota, Metazoa, Chordata, Amphibia, Anura, Myobatrachidae. The transcript has 5 exons.